This is a long non-coding RNA of Cercocebus atys (sooty mangabey), 846 nucleotides long. RefSeq lists it as uncharacterized. Lineage: Eukaryota; Metazoa; Chordata; Mammalia; Primates; Cercopithecidae. The transcript is spliced from 3 exons. The record is from RefSeq and is a predicted model, not a curated record.
ACCCAGCAUGGCGCCAAGGCGCGAGGAGCCCCGCGGGGAAAGAAGCAUUUGAAGUCCGGAAGCACAGGACGUGCGACCUUCAGCCUUUGCGCCCACUUGGGCGCCACCAGCCCCGCAGAAGUAGGUGGGAAUGGAGCUGUCCCGCUCCAGAGACCUCUCCUUCCGCCUCACCACGGAGCAAAUUCUGUGCAGCCUAAGAGAAUAAACGCAUGCGGAAGAGAGGGCGUUUCAGACGCCAGUUUCCAACCGACAGAUCCACCUUGUACUUCUCUGAUGCCAUUCACGGGCAUUUCUCCUCAAAGGACUUCAUCUAUAACAUCCUCAUCAUUAAAAAAAGGCCUUGUGUACUCUUGGGCAGGUUCAGUUGGUCUGAACGUUUUCUGAAAGAAUGUGAUGAGAAAAUUCGAGAAGAGCAUGAAGAACUCGAGCACAAAACUGGCAGAACAGGGUGAUGAAUUUGUGAAGUUCACGCUUGGUGAAUAAUGUGUCGCUCUGGCGCUGGCCCUUCCGUUUCAUGACUCACACAUUCUGCAUUUGCCGCUGCUUUAUUCCUUGCUGACUUAUUGCAAAGCGUCCAAAUUUUGACAUGACACAAUGCCAGGAUCCCUCGGAACCUACAUUCUUAUUGAAAAUACACACUAUUCAGAUCAGUACUAAGAGAGAUUUCUGUUCUAUCUCAUCAGAGUCCCAUAAGGAGGUUCCUUCUCUGUCUUCCGAGCCCUGAAGAGACAUUUUUUGGUAGGUUUUUAUUCUCAGAUCUCAGCUGCUGUUGAAUUAAAAUUUAAACUACUUUUGAGUAUUUUUUUCUUAUCCACAAUAUUAUUCAAAAUUUAUUUAAAGAAAUAA